Molecule: ribosomal RNA, 401 nt
Filed under: uncultured bacterium
Lineage: Bacteria
Description: bacterial SSU rRNA
Rfam family: Bacterial small subunit ribosomal RNA
Source: RNAcentral
AACGAACGCUGGCGGCGUGGAUAAGACAUGCAAGUCGAACGGGACAACAUCUGUAGCAAUACAGGUGUUGUUCAGUGGCGAACGGGUGCGUAACACGUGGGCAAUCUGCCGAGAAGUGGGGGAUAGCUCGCCGAAAGGCGAAUUAAUACCGCAUAUGAUCAGUGAAGACAUCUUCACGACAUCAAAGCCGGGGCAACCUGGCGCUUCUUGAUGAGCCCGCGGCCUAUCAGCUAGUUGGUGAGGUAACGGCUCACCAAGGCUAUGACGGGUAGCUGGUCUGAGAGGACGACCAGUCACACUGGAACUGAGACACGGUCCAGACACCUACGGGUGGCAGCAGUCGAGAAUUUUUCUCAAUGGGGGCAACCCUGAAGGAGCGACGCCGCGUGGAGGAUGAAGGC